GUGGGGAAUAUUGGACAAUGGGGGGAACCCUGAUCCAGCCAUGCCGCGUGUGUGAAGAAGGCCUUUUGGUUGUAAAGCACUUUAAGCGAGGAGGAGGCUACCGAGAUUAAUACUCUUGGAUAGUGGACGUUACUCGCAGAAUAAGCACCGGCUAAAUCUGUGCCAGCAGCCGCGGUAAUACAGAGGGUGCAAGCGUUAAUCGGAUUUACUGGGCGUAAAGCGCGCGUAGGUGGCCAAUUAAGUCAAAUGUGAAAUCCCCGAGCUUAACUUGGGAAGUGCAUUCGAUACUGGUUGGCUAGAGUAUGUGAGAGGAUGGUAGAAUUCCAGGUGUAGCGGUGAAAUGCGUAGAGAUCUGGAGGAAUACCGAUGGCGAAGGCAGCCAUCUGGCCUAAUACUGACACUGAGGUGCGAAAGCAUGGGGAGCAAACAGGAUUAGAUACCCCUGUAGUCC
Molecule: ribosomal RNA, 451 nt
Filed under: uncultured bacterium
Lineage: Bacteria
Description: partial 16S ribosomal RNA
Rfam family: Bacterial small subunit ribosomal RNA
Source: RNAcentral